This 468-nucleotide ribosomal RNA is filed under the name uncultured bacterium. RNAcentral's name for it is "partial 16S ribosomal RNA". It matches the Rfam family "Bacterial small subunit ribosomal RNA", at positions 28 to 507 of the family's 1533-position model. The record is from RNAcentral.
GACGAACGCUGGCGGCGUGCUUAACACAUGCAAGUCGAACGGAAAGGCCCUGCUUUCGUGGGGUUCCCGAGUGGCGAACGGGUGAGUAACACGUGAGUAACGUGCCCUUCACUUUGGGAUAACUUCAGGAAACUGGGGUUACUACCGGAUAGGAUCUCCUGCUGCAUGGAGGGGGUUGGAAAGUCUCGGCUGUUGGGGAUGGACUCGCGGCUUACCAGCUUGCUGGUGGGGUAGUGGCUUACCAAGUCUUGGACUGGUAGCCGGCAUGUGAGGGUGGACGGCCACAAUAGGACUAAGAUAGGGACCAGAGUCCUACGGGAGACAGCGGUGGGAAGUAUGACACAGUGGGCGGAAGUCUGAUGCAGCGGCGCCCCGUGCGGAAAGACGGCCUUCUGGUUAUAAACCGCUUUCGCCUGAGACGACGCGUUAGUGACGGUAAUGAAUAAAGAAGCACCGGCUAACUACGUG